AUUGAACGCUGGCGGCAGGCCUAACACAUGCAAGUCGAGCGGAUGAAGGGAGCUUGCUCCUGGAUUCAGCGGCGGACGGGUGAGUAAUGCCUAGGAAUCUGCCUGGUAGUGGGGGAUAACGUCCGGAAACGGGCGCUAAUACCGCAUACGUCCUGAGGGAGAAAGUGGGGGAUCUUCGGACCUCACGCUAUCAGAUGAGCCUAGGUCGGAUUAGCUAGUUGGUGGGGUAAAGGCCUACCAAGGCGACGAUCCGUAACUGGUCUGAGAGGAUGAUCAGUCACACUGGAACUGAGACACGGUCCAGAGUCCUACGGGAGGCAGCAGUGGGGAAUAUUGGACAAUGGGCGAAAGCCUGAUCCAGCCAUGCCGAGUGUGUGAAGAAGGUCUUCGGAUUGUAAAGCACUUUAAGUUGGGAGGAAGGGCAGUAAGUUAAUACCUUGCUGUUUUGACGUUACCAACAGAAUAAGCACCGGCUAACUUCGUG
Molecule: ribosomal RNA, 484 nt
Filed under: uncultured bacterium
Lineage: Bacteria
Description: partial 16S ribosomal RNA
Rfam family: Bacterial small subunit ribosomal RNA
Source: RNAcentral